RNAcentral lists this ribosomal RNA (260 nucleotides) under uncultured Glomus. RNAcentral describes it as "partial 18S ribosomal RNA". It matches the Rfam family "Eukaryotic small subunit ribosomal RNA", at positions 624 to 886 of the family's 1831-position model. Lineage: Eukaryota; Fungi; Glomeromycota; Glomeromycetes; Glomerales; Glomeraceae. The record is from RNAcentral.
AAGCUCGUAGUUGAAUUUCGGGGGUUAGCAGGUUGGUCAUGCCUCUGGUAUGUACUGGUCUCACUGAUUCCUCCUUCCUUAUGAACCGUAAUGCCAUUAAUUUGGUGUUGCGGGGAAUUUGGACUGUUACUUUGAAAAAAUUAGAGUGUUUAAAGCAAGCUAACGCUUGAAUACAUUAGCAUGGAAUAAUGAAAUAGGACGUUCGAUCUUAUUUUGUUUGGUUUCUAGGAUUGACGUAAUGAUUAAUAGGGAUAGUUGGG